Molecule: long non-coding RNA, 216 nt
Filed under: Ricinus communis (castor bean)
Lineage: Eukaryota; Viridiplantae; Streptophyta; Magnoliopsida; Malpighiales; Euphorbiaceae
Description: long non-coding RNA (RCOM_LNC000901)
Source: RNAcentral
AUCAUAGAUCAAGUGGAACAUGGAGCGAAUCCUAUACCUGUCAUUCUGGCUGAAAACAUCAUUGGGUUAGACAUGUACAAAACCCAACAACAUUUUGGAGGCAGCCUCAUCCUCUUACAGGUAUACAACCAAAUAUCUUUCUUCUUUAUUAUUUUAGCCUUAACUUUUGCCUAAGCCAUCCUUUCAGAUUUUCAAAUUAGCAGGCUCUUGUCUUAA